RNAcentral lists this long non-coding RNA (5453 nucleotides) under Homo sapiens (human). RNAcentral's name for it is "HSALNT0063379". Lineage: Eukaryota; Metazoa; Chordata; Mammalia; Primates; Hominidae. The record is from RNAcentral.
GAAAUAUUUGGAAUCCACAUAUCGGACGAAGAACUAGUAUCUAGAAUAUAUACAUAAUUUAAAAUGCAACACUUUUUAAAAAAAGAAACAGUACAGUUAGGAAAACAGCAAAGGGCAUGAACAGAUAUUUUACCUAAGAUAAUGUAAAAUGGCAACUAAGUACAUGAAAAGAUAUUCAACAUCAGUAGACAUUAAGAAAAUAAAAUUUAAACCGAUAAUUAAAUAAUACUACACACACAAAUAACAGAAUGGCUAAUAUGAAAAAUAGUGACAACAUUAAAUACUUGUGAGGAGGCAGAAAACCAGAAAAACAUAUUGCUGGUGGGAAUGGAAAAUGGUACAGCCACUUGUAAAAAUAAUUGUUUGGGGCUGGGAGCUGUGGCUCACACCUGUAAUCUCAGCACUUUGGGAGGCCAAGGCGGGCAGAUCACCUAAAGUCAGGAGUUUGAGACCAGCUGGCCAAUAUGGGGAAACCUCAUCUCUACUAAAAAUACAAAAAAAAAAAAAAAUAGCUUGGCAUGGUGGCAGGUGCCUGUAAUCCCAGCUACUUGGGAGACUGAGGCGGGAGAAUCGCUUGAACCUGGUAGGCAGAGGUUGCAGUGAGCCGAGAUUGCACCACUGCGCUCCAGCCUGGGUGCAAGAGAAUGAGACUCCCUCAGAAAAUAAAUAAAUAAAUAAAUAAAAAAGAAAGGAAAAAAAAAGGAAAAGCUAAGAAAAAAUUGUUUGCCAGUUUCUUGUAAAACUGCACAUGCAAUUACCAUAUUACCCAGCAAUUGAAAUCUUGUUCAUUUGUCCCACAGCAAUGAAAUUCCAUGUUCAUCAAAAAACCUGCAUAUGAAUGCCAAUAUAGCAGCUGUACUUGUGAUAACCUAAAACUGGAAACAGCCAAGAUUUCCUUCAAAAGAGGAAUGGUUAAACAAUGAGAGCUGAGGAACAUGAAGCUUGGGAAGCCUGCCUUGUAUAGAAAAUGGUUAGCAGGCCUGUUCAUUAUCCCCAAGAGAAAAACUGUAUCAUUCAUCAAUGGUGUCCACUGCAAAUGCAGCACUGUCAAAAGUCCAGAGUGCAAAGGUUUCUAAAUCUGGAAGGAGCUCAGGUUACCACCUGCUUGAGCUUGGUCAGACUGAGCACUCACACAAUGUCAGGAAAAGUGAAUUUAUUACUUACAAAUAGGCAGCAAGGAUAAAAAGAAGCCUAGGAUCCGUGACACUCUGGUUUUUCCAGGACUUAGGAAAGCUGCCCAGUGCAGAUGGAGAUCUGAGAGACCCCAGAAUGCUCUGCCCUGCGAUUAUUCAUCCUGGAUAUAACUACAAACUCACUGAGCUCAAUCAAGGAUUGCAAAACAUCCUGUUCCCAGAGGAAUGAGGACUCAUUCCAGAUGGUUCUGGACACUUUAUCCUUUUCUAAGGAUGUUGCAUUCUUGGAACAUUCUGUGGUUUCUACCAACAACUGCAAGAAAAGGGAAAAAGCCAGAAGUGGCCAAGGCCAUCUGGGGACCUAUUCUCCUACACAGAGUGAACAGUGGUCAGAGACUUGAUUUAUCAUCAAGAGCCUAUAAAAAGGCUCAAGGCCCAUCUGAGUUUGCUCUGGCUUCUGUGAGAAUAUACUAUUUACGAAAUGAUUUAAACAAUAGAUAUUUAUUUCUCACAGUUCUUGAGUUUGGAAGACAUGUGAAUUUUGAGGGGUGCACAGUUCAGUCCAUAGCAAGGUUUAUGCCAGAUUGCCUCUUCUAACACUGAGAGAUUGAAUAAUAUAAUAACUGAAAAGUAUAACCCUGGAUUUAGCAACUAUGAGGCUAGCAGUAAAUUUGGAAUUAAGUUUUCAGUGGUGUGUUGUAGGCAGAAGUCAGAUUAGAAGGGAGUGAGAUGUAAGUAGGAAGUUGAGAAAGUAUAGACAAAACACAGCUUAGAAAAUAACUUCACCUGCAAUGAGUUCAUUAGUGUUAAUGUGUUCAUGGUGUUAAUUGCACAUAUUUUUCCUAUUUUCUAAGAUUAUUUCAAAGUUAUGAAGAAUCUGACUUUGACUUAUUGUCAUAAUUCUAAAAGCUUUGAUGUGAAUAUUAUUUACAUUAAAUGAAGCUUACUACAUUUUGCAGUACAACCCUAAACUAGAUAGAUAGAUAGAUAGAUAGAUAGAUAGAUAGCUAAAAAGGUAAAUAUAAACAUACACGUGUAUACAUAGUUCUUUGUUAUUGAUGUUGUUUCGUUUGAUAAACAUAGUAUCAUUUUCUAAUGACUACUUGCUUAUUAAGGCCAUUUAAUUAGGACAGCAGGACAACUAUCACUUAUUGAAUGUCUCCUCUAUGCUACAAUUAACAUGUUUAUCUCUUUCAAUCCUCAUAGCAAUCUUGUGAUAUGGAUGCUUUUAAAUUACCAUUUUAUAUACCCAUUAUUAUGUGGGUGAACCUUACUUUAAAGCCCACUCUUCUGAUUCCUAGUCUAAUGUUCUUUUCCCUACAGUAUACUGUCUUAGAGGAAUAGUUAUGGCUUAUAUACUUUAGCACUAAGGAAAUCAAGAAAUUUAGUAUUCAGAAAGGAAGAGGUGGAGGAAAAAUGAGAUCAAAGACCACUGUAAUGGUAUUCUCAGAUGCCUGUCACUUUAAUCAUUGAGAAAAAGAGGAAAAUACGUAGAUAUAGUAUUUUUACUUUUUAUACAAAAUAACAUGCAUAACUUUAGUGACAAACUUUCUAGAACUCAAAUUUGAGAUUCAAGCAAAAUGUGUCACAAAACUCUUUACUAAUGAAGAUACUGUUAACUUCUCAGCAUACAAAGGUUAUAUGUGACACUUUUUAAUGAUGAAAACCUCUGAAUUUGAAAUAGCUGUUCCUCAAUUUAAUUAAAAGGAAUCUUUCCUAGACCUUUGAAGGAACAGUCAGCAAAAUCAUUAGCCAGUACAUUAGCAGGAUGAAAGAUAUUUUUUUUCAUUAGACGUAAGAAACAUUAGAGUUUGUAACAUUGCUAAGACAACUGUACCAUUUUAAAAAGAGAAUCAUGGAGCAAUGCUGUUAAUAUUAUUUCCAGAGUCUAUAUCAGGAGAUAUAAUUGAGAGGAUUAACUUCCCUCAUACAUUGCUGCUCUUUUACAGUGGUUAUCUCAUAUACUGAGAUAACAUAACUUCUCAUACAUUGAGACAGUGAAAACUAUCAGAAAAUUGAAAACACAGUGGUGCAGAGUACUCACUUGCAGUCAGACUCAACAGUGUUGAAAGUACAGAUCUUUCACUUAAAAGAUAUAUAUCAUUUGAAACAUUGCUUAACCCCUCUAAAUGUCAAUUCCUCACUUUUGCAAUGUAUAUGAUAAAUAUUAACAUAUUUUGUUAGGAUAAUGACAGUGUCAUUAUCAUUAGCAAGUUGUAUGUAUAAUAAAGGCCCUUUUAAAAUAAUUGUUAGGAGUGAUUUAAAUGUUUUCUAGUAAUGUAGAUUAGAGAGUUCAGAAACUCACUAGAAAUCAGUCUCUAGACCAUGCUUGACUCCUCCUGAGAGAUAGAUUUUUUAAAAAGCCCCCAAAUAAAGAAAAUAUUAAGUAUGAUACAGCAAGUUAUGUAUCGAUAGAUGAUACUCAACUUCUUUUGGCAUGGCAUCAGAAAGGAAUCAAGGUGUGCUUAAGAGCAAUGGAAUUCUUUUAGAAGUCUCUAUUUUUAAAAAGGUAGGUCAGCACAAAUGACUUUUUUAUAACUUGAGUAAUGAUUUUUCUUAUUCUCUGUUCUGUACCAUCUGAAGGAAAUUAGGACCAUGCCUUGUCUACUUGUUGUUAAAUUAGACAUAUGAAGAAAACAAAAUUUGGGGCUCUUUUAGAAUAUAAUUUUCUUUUCUUUCUCUAAACUUUUGAAAACUAGAGUCUUGAUAAUAAAAAUAUUUUAUAAUUGAACACAAUUAAUAAAUAUCUCAAAUACAUUCAAAAACAGUCUGAUAUUUAUGACAUAGUAUCUCUCCUGAACUAUUCCUAGACUGAGGGGGUCAUUCUGGAUUAAUAUGAACUCCUUAAAUCCUCAAGACAAAACUGGGUUGGAAUGAUGGAUUCUCCAUUUAUUAGAUUGGUAUAGUCUUGCCACAGUAUUUUGCUGCCUAGGAAAAAUGCAUACUGAUCUCUAUACUACUGGUUAGAAAGGUCUGCUAGGUAGCUAGAUGUGCCGCUAGUAAAAUCCUGUAAUGAGCGAAUGUAUGGAAAAGAACAUAUUGUCAGAUACAUUUUUGACUUAAUGAUUUAGAUUGGCCCUUUUAUCCCUCUUCAUGUUGUAUUAGCAUACUAAAGAAGUAAUAUUGUAUGAUUCUUUACAUAAUUUUCUACCUUAGUCUACCUUGAAGGACUAAUGUCCAGCUAAUCAAUGAACAAAGAAACACCAGGCUUCCAGGUUGAUAUGGUUUGGCUCUAUGUCCCCACCCAAAUCUCAUGUUGAAUUGUAAUCCUCAGUGUUGAAGGAGGGACCUGGCUGAAGGUGAUUGGAUCAUGCUGGUGGAUUUCCCCAUUACUGUUCUCAUUAGAGCGAAUGAGCUCUCACGAGAUCUGGUUGUUUAAAUGUGUGUAACACCUCCCCCUUCACUCUCUCUCCUGCUCUGGCCAUGUGAAUACUGUGCUUGCCUCCCCUUCACCUUCUGCCAUGAUUGUAAGUUUCCUGAGGCCAUCCAAGCCAUGUGUCCUGAACAGCCUGUGGAACUUUGAGCCAAUGAAACCUCUUUUCUUCAUAUACUACUCAGUCUCAGGUAGUUCUUUAUAGUAAUGCGAGACUGGACCAAUACACAGGUUAAAUUGCUGACAGGGCAUAUGGAAAUGUUCUCCUCUAUCACUUAAAGAUAAAUGAAAACAAGAGAAGGAAGCAACUCCCAAAUAGUAAGGAGAAUGUGAGGAAAGUGAACAGCAAAAUUGAGAUGUUGCGUUACCAGUAACAACAAUAAAGAAUAGCCACAGGCUCAGAAGAGACUUGAAUCAGAAAUUAGAGGUGAUCUUUCUGCAGAGAUCUGAAGGGACUACAAAUUAGGAAUCAGUGAGAAGAGAUGGUAGGUUAAAAGUAUGGGACAGAAAUGUGUAGCAAUUCCUCUCUAGGGAAUGUCUAUAGAUUAGCUUUACCGCCUGACAUCACUGUUCACCCAUGCAUGGUAUUUACUUCCAGGCAAAAUCAUUUGCACUGUUUGACCUUUACAAUUGCAAAAUAUGCCUGGAGACAUCAGAGAUGUCUCAUGGGUAUUGAUACCCCACAAAGUUCCUCUCCAUAUUGUUGCACAGAGGUUAGGGAGGGGCAAUUAUUAGCCAUUGAUUUAUUCAUUCUUUCUACAAAUAUUUGUGCAGGUAGUCUUCUAGAUUUUGAGAAUAUAGAAGUUAAUCAAACAAUCAAAACCCUCUGGCAUCAUGAGUGUGUAUUCUGCAGGAGGAAGGGAAAGAAAGCCAAUAAAUGCAUAAAUAGAUAUAUUGUAUAUAUUGUAUGUAUGGAUAUGUGGUAUGGAGGAUAUGAAACAGGCAAG